Heterocephalus glaber (naked mole-rat) is the source of this 1390-nucleotide non-coding RNA. The record is from RefSeq and is a predicted model, not a curated record. Lineage: Eukaryota; Metazoa; Chordata; Mammalia; Rodentia; Bathyergidae.
CACACUUCCUGCUGCCCGUGUUUUGGCUGUAAGGCAGGAUGGGGAACAGACUCAGAGCUUCCACUCCAGAAGUUCACUUUGAGAUGGACCCGCAAGCUGCCCGGGGACCAGGGCGGGAGCAGGGCCAGGGCCACCAUCCGGGAGACCAAGAGGAGGCCUGGACAGGCUGAUGGAACUCAGGAUGGAAGCCUUCAGAUGCUGAAUUUUUUUUUUGUUUCAAUACUGGGGAUGGAGCCCUGGAGCCCCAAGCGUGCAAAGCAAGCACUCGACCACGGAGCUGCAACCCAGCCCUUCUCUUUAUUCGGCGACAGGGUCUUCUAGGUCAAGUCGCUGAGGGCGGCCUCCAUCCUCCGGGCCCAGCCCACUGAGAAGAUGGGAUCACAGGCGGGCGCCUCCUUGCCCAACCUGCUAUCUUCUGAAGGCAAAACGCAGCAGGUUUCGUAACAAGCUGGAUGUGGAGGGGCUUGCGAGUGCUGGCAGAGCUGCACCCCAGGGCCCUGAACAACUGACGGAGCCCGAGAAUCAGCACAAUGGGACGUGAGGGUCGGUGUCGCCGGCUGCUGUCUGAAGCAAAGGUGAUGGUGCUGUCCUCCCUAGACUGCUAUAAAGUUCAACAAGAAAAUAUCACUCACCAGGCCUUGCAUAGAGCUUAACUUUUCUUUCCUGGCUCAGCCUUCAAGACCUCAGCAAACCCCUCUCAGAAGUCCCGGGUCCCCCCCCCCCCCAGGGUGGCUCGGUCCCAGGGUGGCUCGGUUUGUGUCCCCCCUAGGAAGUAGUUUCCGACAGCACUGCUCGGGGCCGUGUGCUUCCGGGGCCCUUUGGGAUUUGUCCCCUCCCAGGCCUCUUCUCUGCCCUGUCACGGCUGAUGGAGAAUGUCCCCCAAGUCCCUGAGCAGGAAGAGGACCGGACCAAGCCGACUGUGAGCCAAGGAGGCCUGGUCAGAAGCGGCCCCUGCUGGGCCCGACCGGAAGGUUUCUCUCCCUCCGCGGCUCCUCUCUUUGCUCUGCUUCCUGUCUUCAAGCCCGCCGGCCAUGGAUUGAAACUUCUGAACUGUGAGUCAGAGGAAGCCCCUCUCCUUUGCAGUCGCAGGUGUCACGGACUGUGCCAGCAAGAGGCACGUGACUGCGACGGAUCCCUAGCACCACACACAUUAGAAAGACAGAAGCCCUGAACGAUGAGGUUUCCAGUCGGCGCGGUGAGGCCCCGGGAGAAAUCCCCGCAGAGGCUCCGGGGCCGCGGGCACGCAGCUGUUACAGAAGUGUCGGGGCUGAGGCCCAGCACACAGUGGAAGUGGGGGAGAUACCGGUUAUGCCCAUCUCAGGCUCUUUGAAUUUGUUUUUUAACAACUGCAUUGUUCAUUUAAAAAAUAAAAAUAAAAAUCGUUCUAAAA